Molecule: ribosomal RNA, 456 nt
Filed under: uncultured bacterium
Lineage: Bacteria
Description: bacterial SSU rRNA
Rfam family: Bacterial small subunit ribosomal RNA
Source: RNAcentral
UACGGAAGGCAGCAGUGGGGAAUAUUGGACAAUGGGCGCAAGCCUGAUCCAGCCAUGCCGCGUGUGUGAAGAAGGCCUUCGGGUUGUAAAGCACUUUUGUCCGGAAAGAAAAGCUUAGGGUUAAUAACCUUGAGUCAUGACGGUACCGGAAGAAUAAGCACCGGCUAACUUCGUGCCAGCAGCCGCGGUAAUACGAAGGGUGCAAGCGUUACUCGGAAUUACUGGGCGUAAAGCGUGCGUAGGUGGUUUGUUAAGUCUGAUGUGAAAGCCCUGGGCUCAACCUGGGAAUGGCAUUGGAAACUGGCUUACUAGAGUGCGGUAGAGGGGUGUGGAAUUCCCGGUGUAGCAGUGAAAUGCGUAGAUAUCGGGAGGAACAUCUGUGGCGAAGGCGACACCCUGGGACCAGCACUGACACUGAGGCACGAAAGCGUGGGGAGCAAACAGGGAUUAGAUACC